RNAcentral lists this ribosomal RNA (1138 nucleotides) under uncultured organism. Its description in RNAcentral is "partial 16S ribosomal RNA". It matches the Rfam family "Bacterial small subunit ribosomal RNA", at positions 258 to 1415 of the family's 1533-position model. The record is from RNAcentral.
UAAAAGCCUACCAAGCCUAAGAUCCUUAGCUGUUCUGAGAGGUUGAACAGCCACACUGGGACUGAGACAAGGCCCAGGCUCCAUUUGGAGCCAGCAGUGAGGAAUUUUGGACAAUGAGCGAAAGCUUGAUCCAGCAAUACUACACGAGUGAAGAAGGCUUUCAAGUUGUAACACUCUUUGGUUGAGGAGGAUAAUGACAGUACUCAACAAAAUAGCCCCGGCUAACUUCGUGCCAGCAGCCGCGGUAAGACGAAGGGGGCGAGCGUUAUCCGGAAUGACUGGGCGUAAAGGGUCCGUAGGCAGCAUUUUUUGUUGGAAGUUAAAUAAAAAAGCUUAACUUUUUUCCGCUUCUAAAACGUAAAUGCUUUGAGUUUGAUAGAAGAUAGCAGAAUUUCACAAGGAGGGGUGAUAUCCAGAGAUCUGUGAAGGAAUAUCAGAUGCGAAGGCGGCUAUCUAGAUCAACACUGACGUUGAGGGACGAAAGCAUGGGGAGCAAACAGGAUUAGAUACCCUGGUAGUCCAUGCCCUAAAAGAUGAGUGUUCGUGCUUAGAGAACUUUAGGCACUUAGUUAACACGUUAAACACUCCGCCUGGGGAGUACGAUCGCAAGGUUGGAACUCAAAGGAAUUGACGGGGGCCUAUACAAGUGGUGGAGCAUGUGGUUUAAUGCGAUAAUACGCGCGAAACCUUACCAGUUCUUGACAUAAAAAAGAAAAAGUUUGAAAAAGCAAUUUUAAAGAUUUUUACAGGUGCUGCAUGGCUGUCGUAAGCUCGUGUCGUGAGAUGUUAGGUUAACUCCUUUUAACGGGCGAAACCCCUUUUUUUCGUUGCUACUCAAUUUUAUUUUUAAAGCACUCUAAAAAAACUGCUCCCUUUUUUUUAAUUCGGAGAGGAAGGUGGGGAUGACGUCAAGUCCUUAUGGCCCUUAUGAACUGGGCUACACACGUGCUACAAUGGUAAAGACAAUAAGAAGUGAUAGGGUAACCUAAAACCAAUCUUUAAACUUUAUCAAAGUUCGGAUUGUGGACUGCAACUCGUCCAUAUGAAGGUGGAAUCACUAGUAAUCGCACAUCAGCAUGUUGCGGUGAAUUUGUACCUAGGCCUUGUACACACCGCCCGUCACGUGCCGGGAGUUGGC